Molecule: long non-coding RNA, 413 nt
Organism: Mercenaria mercenaria
Lineage: Eukaryota; Metazoa; Mollusca; Bivalvia; Venerida; Veneridae
Exons: 3
Source: RefSeq, a predicted model, not a curated record
CAACAUAUGUGUUUUGACUCGUGUGUAAUGUGCAGAGUCGGUUAUGUGAAAUAUAUUGUGUAUUUAGUUGGAAAUAACGCAGUUCCUGAUCCAGGAUGAAAAGUGCCUUAGUCGCUAAAAUGCAUCCAGACAGAGAAUUGCAAAUCAGUAAGCAGGAUCAGAGCAGAUGCAAAGACGAUACGACGCAAAAAAAGCUCCUUUUGACCUUUUUCUAUAUCUUUCAAGUACACGCUCACGGGGAAUGACAAUAUAACAUCAACUGCCGUAUGAUCCUAUACCAAGAGCUAGUUCUUAUAUCAGUCUGAAAUUUAAACAAACGUGUUCUUGGUACACUAAUUUGUUAUAACUUACCGAAGAAGCCAAACGAUUGACAAGAACCUCGAACGUGGUGAAAUGUGGAAUAAAGAAAACAG